RNAcentral lists this ribosomal RNA (426 nucleotides) under Escherichia coli. RNAcentral's name for it is "bacterial SSU rRNA". It matches the Rfam family "Bacterial small subunit ribosomal RNA", at positions 283 to 701 of the family's 1533-position model. The record is from RNAcentral. Lineage: Bacteria; Pseudomonadati; Pseudomonadota; Gammaproteobacteria; Enterobacterales; Enterobacteriaceae.
CUAGCUGGUCUGAGAGGAUGACCAGCCACACUGGAACUGAGACACGGUCCAGACUCCUACGGGAGGCAGCAGUGGGGAAUAUUGCACAAUGGGCGCAAGCCUGAUGCAGCCAUGCCGCGUGUAUGAAGAAGGCCUUCGGGUUGUAAAGUACUUUCAGCGGGGAGGAAGGGAGUAAAGUUAAUACCUUUGCUCAUUGACGUUACCCGCAGAAGAAGCACCGGCUAACUCCGUGCCAGCAGCCGCGGUAAUACGGAGGGUGCAAGCGUUAAUCGGAAUUACUGGGCGUAAAGCGCACGCAGGCGGUUUGUUAAGUCAGAUGUGAAAUCCCCGGGCUCAACCUGGGAACUGCAUCUGAUACUGGCAAGCUUGAGUCUCGUAGAGGGGGGUAGAAUUCCAGGUGUAGCGGUGAAAUGCGUAGAGAUCUGG